CAGAGUGAUGCUUUGUGUUUUUCCCAGUUCCAUCUCACUGAUGACCCACACUCUGCCUUUGGCCUUCUCCACCCUGCAGUACUGGGCUGCUGUGCUGCUGUCCGUCCAGUGCCAGGAAGGUGAUACUGUGAAAUGGCUAACCACACCGCAUUUCUGACUCUUAUAAUGUACUUGCAUUUCUACGUUCCUGUGAAAAAUUCCAAGUUCUUAUCUACUGGGACAGAUGGAGUCACUGCGUCGCUCCAGCUCUUUCCCUGCCAAUGCCUCAGGCCCUUUUCUCUGCUGCUGCUUUUCUGCAGACUCACAGCAUCACCCAGAACCUGCUGAGAGUGCCACCAAAAGAGGCAGCAGUGAGAACCCGCUGGUGGGAUGCUUUCAGUUACUACACUCAAAUAUCAGGUUCUUGUCUGUGUUUUCCAUAAAGAAGUGAAAAGAAUAGGAAUUGGUGCUUAUGUUUACCAGUUGAACUCAAAUCCCACUUGGCUCAGUUAUAAA
Molecule: long non-coding RNA, 495 nt
Organism: Aquila chrysaetos chrysaetos
Lineage: Eukaryota; Metazoa; Chordata; Aves; Accipitriformes; Accipitridae
Exons: 3
Source: RefSeq, a predicted model, not a curated record